This 44-nucleotide non-coding RNA is filed under the name Schistosoma margrebowiei. The record is from RNAcentral. Lineage: Eukaryota; Metazoa; Platyhelminthes; Trematoda; Strigeidida; Schistosomatidae.
ACCAGCUGACGAGUUCCACAUAGGACGAAACGCAAGUCCUGGAU